AUUGAACGCUGGCGGCAGGCCUAACACAUGCAAGUCGAGCGGAGCGGCGGACGGGUGAGUAAUGCCUAGGAAUCUGCCUGGUAGUGGGGGAUAACGUCCGGAAACGGGCGCUAAUACCGCAUACUAUCAGAUGAGCCUAGGUCGGAUUAGCUAGUUGGUGGGGUAAAGGCCUACCAAGGCGACGAUCCGUAACUGGUCUGAGAGGAUGAUCAGUCACAAUGGAACUGAGAAAUGGUCAAGACUCUUAGGGGAGGCAGCAGGGGGGAAUAUUGGACAAUGGGCGAAAGCUUGAUCCAGCCAUGCCGCGUUUGUGAAGAAGGUCUUCGGAUGGUAAAGAACUUUAAGUUGGGAGGCGUUCCCAAAAGAAUAAGCACCGGCUACCUUAGUGCCAGCCGCCGCGGUAAUU
RNAcentral lists this ribosomal RNA (406 nucleotides) under uncultured bacterium. Its description in RNAcentral is "partial 16S ribosomal RNA". It matches the Rfam family "Bacterial small subunit ribosomal RNA", at positions 30 to 525 of the family's 1533-position model. The record is from RNAcentral.